This 580-nucleotide small RNA is filed under the name Pan troglodytes (chimpanzee). RNAcentral describes it as "processed transcript". Lineage: Eukaryota; Metazoa; Chordata; Mammalia; Primates; Hominidae. The record is from RNAcentral.
GGUUUCGGGGAAGAGACCGGGGUUGAGCGUCUAGCCCAGCUCAGCGUGACUUCCGCCAGCGUUUAGAACGUUUUCGGGGUCCGAGUUGAAGAGCAAAACCAAGUGAAGGAAACUUCACUAAGUUCAGGGUGACAAGGGAGGAAGUACAGAGACUGCACUUUAAAUUCUGGAUGACAGACCUAUCAGGACUGAGUGGACCUUUGAGUGACAAGAUGGGGGUGUUCCAAAGAGACCAUAGCAGCCUGCAGCUAGGACUUUAAUUGAACUAUUGGCAUGGCUCAAUCCAUUGACCUGUUUUGGUUCCUGAUGAAGUUUUGUUAAUUUAAAUGAGAAAAAUAAGGACAGUGAAAAACAGAGCGCUUAAAAAGCACUGUCUGGAUAUCUUCAGAGGGAAAAAGGAGAAAGUUAACUGAAUUGGUGACACUUCGGGUCUCUCACAGAGGAAGGGCCAAGGAGAUUAAGAUCAAGUUGGGAAUUCUCCUCCAGAAGCCAGACUCAGUUGGUGACCUUGUCAUUCCGUACAAUGAGAAGCCAGAGAAACCAGCCAAGACCCAGAAACCCUCGCUGGACGAGUCCCUGC